This 523-nucleotide ribosomal RNA is filed under the name Klebsiella ornithinolytica. RNAcentral describes it as "Raoultella ornithinolytica partial 23S ribosomal RNA". It matches the Rfam family "Bacterial large subunit ribosomal RNA", at positions 911 to 1431 of the family's 2925-position model. Lineage: Bacteria; Pseudomonadati; Pseudomonadota; Gammaproteobacteria; Enterobacterales; Enterobacteriaceae. The record is from RNAcentral.
UGUUUCGGCUAGGGGGUCAUCCCGACUUACCAACCCGAUGCAAACUACGAAUACCGAAGAAUGUUAUCACGGGAGACACACGGCGGGUGCUAACGUCCGUCGUGAAGAGGGAAACAACCCAGACCGCCAGCUAAGGUCCCAAAGUCAUGGUUAAGUGGGAAACGAUGUGGGAAGGCACAGACAGCCAGGAUGUUGGCUUAGAAGCAGCCAUCAUUUAAAGAAAGCGUAAUAGCUCACUGGUCGAGUCGGCCUGCGCGGAAGAUGUAACGGGGCUAAACCAUGCACCGAAGCUGCGGCAGCGACACUAUGUGUUGUUGGGUAGGGGAGCGUUCUGUAAGCCGUUGAAGGUGGCCUGUGAGGGUUGCUGGAGGUAUCAGAAGUGCGAAUGCUGACAUAAGUAACGAUAAAGCGGGUGAAAAGCCCGCUCGCCGGAAGACCAAGGGUUCCUGUCCAACGUUAAUCGGGGCAGGGUGAGUCGACCCCUAAGGCGAGGCCGAAAGGCGUAGUCGAUGGGAAACAGGUU